Helianthus annuus (common sunflower) is the source of this 972-nucleotide long non-coding RNA. RefSeq lists it as uncharacterized. NCBI's taxonomy places the organism in Eukaryota, Viridiplantae, Streptophyta, Magnoliopsida, Asterales, Asteraceae. The transcript has 3 exons. The record is from RefSeq and is a predicted model, not a curated record.
ACAAAAUUCCCCGGUCAAUUACCAAUACCUUAGUGCUUUUUCAUAAAACUCGCCAGGGCAACCAAGCCAAUCCUCCACCGCCUCCUACCAGUGAAUUCAUUGUUAGAGAUACUGGAAAUUGCAGUCCGCGGUAAAUGCCAGGUGACCUAUACUUCCCCUUUUUUACUUUUUGCUUAAACAUGUAUGUUGGUUGGUUUAAUGUAAUAUUGUUGUCUUGUUUUAGAUUGCUUACACUUCCGAUCUUUUGACCACUUCUGGGAUGCAGUUGGCUUUGUUGGUCCAACCUCAUCCAUCCAUCUAUUUGGGCACUGUAUUCCUUCAGGCUACACACAAUCUUGAUCUGUUAUAAGGGAUUUGUGAUUGUAUUAUAAAUAUAUUAGAGUGACUAGCAUGUUCUCUCUCAAUUUUGUGUUACACAUGAGAUCUUUGCGCUUCUGGGUUUUAACGGAGAUUUACUGGGGGAGACAGACUGAUUUUUGUGCUUCUGCAUUUUGUCGGAGAUUUGCGAUGUGCACUUGUUUGUUCCAGUGAUUUUGCUUGCCGGAUAUUUUAGAAAUGUUGCUCAGAUCUGAAUGAAGCCUCGCUGCAACUCUUCUUUAUGAACAAUCAGAAGGUUACAAAGGCAUGUUGUUAUUUGACAUCAGAUGAGUUUUCUGGCCAUACAAAAAUUCAUUUUUUUCCUUUAUAUUCCAAGAGGAAUCAUAAAAAGACAAUGGAGAUUCAGCAAAAGGUUCUACAAUUUAAAGCUGCGCAGGAUAAGAGAAGGGUUAAGAUAUUGAGAACUUUUUAGUUUUCCUUUUUUGUUGUUGUUUUUAGUUAGACAUUUCGGUGAACACCUUUCAUGCAUUUAGACAUUUUAGUUAAUAAGCUUGUACUCUUUAAAAAUAAAAUAUAUGAGUUGUGUUCGAACGAAAAUUGUGAUCCUCAAUCCAAAUUUGCUGCUAUUCAUUGAACUGAGGCUCAAGCAAUCCU